GGCGUUUGGCUCCUCCCCAAGGAAAGUUCUUAGUUUCAACACUUCUGAUCUUUAAAUCCUCAAUACAGAUUCUGGCUUUGAUGCUUGCUGAUUUAUUGCUCUCUGAAGCACCACGUUGGUUCCUGCAGCCUCUCGCAGAGCCACCUCCUCUCCCAUGCAGGGAAGCCCGAGUGUUUCAUGCACAGGCCAAUCCCACGACCCCUGAGGAUGUCGGCACCGAUGGGAAUGCAUUGCAGCCCUCCCCAGCUGCAGUCCCCACAGGAGCACUCCCUGUGCACCUCAGAGGGUACAGGUGUGACCUUGCCCAUGAGAACUGGACCAGCACAUGGAUCCAUAGGCUGUGAGUUGCCACUGGGGACUGGAAGUACCACAACACAGAGAGAACAGGUAAUUUCAGUGUAAGAGUUAUGCAAAAAAACUGGGGGAAAGCAGUGUUUGUUUGAGAUUGAUCAGAACCAUCUUUUAUUUCAGUGUUUUCUGGAAGAG
This 486-nucleotide long non-coding RNA is filed under the name Chrysolophus pictus (golden pheasant). Its description in RNAcentral is "lncRNA (ENSCPIG00010012943.1)". The record is from RNAcentral. Lineage: Eukaryota; Metazoa; Chordata; Aves; Galliformes; Phasianidae.